GUUUUGUGCCUCAUAUCUCUUUCAAAAAUUAGGGAAUAAUUUUUUUGGAUUUUCCGAGUUUGUUGUUUCCGGCAAAAAUAUAGGCAUGGGGGGUUCUAAGUGAGCCAGGCUUCGUUCCAUAUUUCGGACUUCGAUCGACCGAGAGAUUAGCUCAGUUGCUAGCUGAUAAUAGCACAAGAGAUUAUGAUUUUUUUUACGAAGAGUACUUCCUCGCAUGAUGGCAAGAGUGUUGACCGGGAACAAGAACGUAAGUUCAACGAGCUUAAAGCUUCUGACACAGUGAAAGCACCUGCACGAAUCAUUGGUUCUCAGGCGACUAAGAAAAAGGGAGCUACAUUUGUUCUGAUUUAAGGAAUUGGAUAAGAACAGACUUGGGAGGUAAUUAGGGUGGCAGAACUUUUGGAACAGCAGGAUAUAUUAUUCAAAUGAGAAAAAUGCUAUAAUCCGUCAAAGGCUCAUAUUCUUCGAUUGAUUGAAAAAUAUAGUAAUCGUACAAGCAUAUGUAAGUUUAAUAUUCCGAUGCAUGUGAAAAAUUAGUAGACAAACAAAUACAUUGUUGAGUUACGGGCUUGAUUCUGCCAACAUAUUAUGUAUGAUCUUUUUUGGUAUUA
Non-coding RNA from Erythranthe guttata (spotted monkey flower), 611 nucleotides. Lineage: Eukaryota; Viridiplantae; Streptophyta; Magnoliopsida; Lamiales; Phrymaceae. The record is from RefSeq and is a predicted model, not a curated record.